GACAGCAGUCGCCGCGGUAAUACGUAGGUGGCAAGCGUUGUCCGGAAUUAUUGGGCGUAAAGCGCGCGCAGGCGGUUUCUUAAGUCUGAUGUGAAAGCCCCCGGCUUAACCGGGGAGGGUCAUUGGAAACUGGGAGACUUAGAGUGCGGAAGAGGAGAGUGGAAUUCCAUGUGUAGCGGUGAAAUGCGUAGAUAUAUGGAGGAACACCAGUGGCGAAGGCGACUCUCUGGUCUGUAACUGACGCUGAGGCGCGAAAGCGUGGGGAGCAAACAGGAUUAGAUACCCGCGUAGUCCCUGUCUCUUAUA
Molecule: ribosomal RNA, 306 nt
Filed under: uncultured bacterium
Lineage: Bacteria
Description: partial 16S ribosomal RNA
Rfam family: Bacterial small subunit ribosomal RNA
Source: RNAcentral